Molecule: ribosomal RNA, 477 nt
Filed under: Triticum aestivum (bread wheat)
Lineage: Eukaryota; Viridiplantae; Streptophyta; Magnoliopsida; Poales; Poaceae
Description: partial small subunit ribosomal RNA
Source: RNAcentral
AUGUUUCAAGUUGGGGAUUCCGUGUUGCUCAAACUUCAACCUUAUGCUCAGUCUACAGUCGUGAAUCGUCCUUGUCCCAAAUUAUCCUUCAAGUUUUUUGGCCCUUUCAAAAUUCUGGCCCAAAUUGGUGCUGUGGCGUAUAGAUUGGAGCUUCCCGAUGGAUGUCAAGUUCAUCCUGUUUUUCAUGUUUCUCAACUCAAAGCAUUCAAUCCCAGUUAUGCUCCUACUUUUCAAGCCAUGCCACCUCCUCAAGCUCUGCUGGACUCUGCUUCACGACCUUUGGCAAUUCUACAGCGCCGGAUGGUUCAACAAGGUAAUGCAGCAGCUCCACAAGUGCUCAUUCAGUGGUCUAGUUUGCCUGAAGACUGUGCAACCUGGGAAGAUUAUUAUGUGCUGCGCCAGCGUUUCCCUGACGCUGCCAUUUGGGAAGGCGAUCGAGCUCAAGAGGGGAAAGAUGUCAUGCAUUCAGAUCCUUGA